CCUACGGGAGGCAGCAGUGGGGAAUAUUGGACAAUGGGGGGAACACUGAUCCAGCGACGCCGCGUGAGUGAAGAAGUAUUUCGGUAUGUAAAGCUCUAUCAGCAGGGAAGAAAGAAAUGACGGUACCUGACUAAGAAGCCCCGGCUAACUACGUGCCAGCAGCCGCGGUAAUACGAAGGGGGCAAGCGUUAUCCGGAUUUACUGGGUGUAAAGGGAGCGUAGACGGCGAUGCAAGUCUGAAGUGAAAGGCGGGGGCGCAACCCCCGGACUGCUUUGGAAACUGUAUGGCUGGAGUGCAGGAGAGGUAAGUGGAAUUCCUAGUGUAGCGGUGAAAUGCGUAGAUAUUAGGAGGAACACCAGUGGCGAAGGCGGAUUACUGGACUGUAACUGACGUUGAGGCUCGAAAGCGUGGGGAGCAAACAGGAUUAGAUACCCGGGUAGUC
Molecule: ribosomal RNA, 443 nt
Filed under: uncultured bacterium
Lineage: Bacteria
Description: partial 16S ribosomal RNA
Rfam family: Bacterial small subunit ribosomal RNA
Source: RNAcentral